This 253-nucleotide ribosomal RNA is filed under the name uncultured bacterium. RNAcentral describes it as "partial 16S ribosomal RNA". It matches the Rfam family "Bacterial small subunit ribosomal RNA", at positions 524 to 776 of the family's 1533-position model. The record is from RNAcentral.
UACAGAGGUCCCAAGCGUUGUUCGGAUUCAUUGGGCGUAAAGGGUGCGCAGGCGGCCAAGUGUGUGAGGCGUGAAAGCCCGAUGCUUAACAUCGGAAUUGCACCUCAAACUACAUGGCUAGAGCAUUGGAGAGGGUAGCGGAAUUCACGGUGUAGCAGUGAAAUGCGUAGAUAUCGUGAGGAACACCAGAGGCGAAGGCGGCUACCUGGACAAUUGCUGACGCUCAGGCACGAAAGCGUGGGGAGCAAAAGGG